This 499-nucleotide ribosomal RNA is filed under the name uncultured bacterium. RNAcentral describes it as "partial 16S ribosomal RNA". It matches the Rfam family "Bacterial small subunit ribosomal RNA", at positions 28 to 507 of the family's 1533-position model. The record is from RNAcentral.
GACGAACGCUGGCGGCGUGCCUAAUACAUGCAAGUCGUGCGGACCUUUUAAAAGCUUGCUUUUAAAAGGUUAGCGGCGGACGGGUGAGUAACACGUGGGCAACCUGCCUGUAAGACUGGGAUAACGCCGGGAAACCGGGGCUAAUACCAGAUCGUUUUUUCCUCCGCAUGGAGGAAAAAGGAAAGGCGGCUUCGGCUGCCACUUACAGAUGGGCCCGCGGCGCAUUAGCUAGUUGGCGGGGUAACGGCCCACCAAGGCAACGAUGCGUAGCCGACCUGAGAGGGUGAUCGGCCACAUUGGGACUGAGACACGGCCCAAACUCCCACGGGAGGCAGCAGUAGGGAAUCUUCCGCAAUGGACGAAAGUCUGACGGAGCAACGCCGCGUGAGUGAAGAAGGCCUUCGGGUCGUAAAACUCUGUUGCCGGGGAAGAACAAGUGCCGUUCGAACAGGGCGGCGCCUUGACGGUACCCGGCCAGAAAGCCACGGCUAACUACGUG